RNAcentral lists this long non-coding RNA (558 nucleotides) under Rattus norvegicus (Norway rat). RNAcentral's name for it is "long non-coding RNA NONRATT015609". The record is from RNAcentral. Lineage: Eukaryota; Metazoa; Chordata; Mammalia; Rodentia; Muridae.
AAGAAAGUGAAAGUUCAUGUAACCCCCCAUCUCUCCUCCUUCUCCUUUCCUCCUCACUCCUUCCACUAUUUAUUUAAACUACAACCUUCCACUUCAGAAGUUGAACAUUCAGAUCUGUAUUUCGUAGCCUCCCUUGCAACUGUGAACAGCAUGAGGAUCUGCCUUGGAUAUUGGCUCAGGGACUCAGACCCAGAGCUGCACUGCUGGUGGCUCAGGUGUCAGGGCCCAGCAGCCAGCACUGCCAUAGGCCCAGCAGAGCUGUCCCUGCCAUGCAGGCCUUGGCAUCUUUGGGAGCUGUUGACCUGUACUGCUUUUAAACCCAAGCCUGCCAUUCUUCCUGACUUCUCAUAUCCUCUAAUAAAUUCCUCUCUUGGCUUCAAUUAGCCUGAGUUGUUUUGGUUUCUCUUGGCAACUCCCACCCCUGCCCCCUCCUGGCUGACAUACUUAUUUUUUAAAAGAACAUGGACUUAUUGCAUCCCUCACAGAUACCCCCCAGACAGGGUUUCUCAGUGUAACAGCCCUGGCUAUCCUUGAACACAUUCUGUAGAUCAGGCUGGC